CCUAGAAGUGGCCCUCCCUGGCCGAAGCUUCAGAGAGGUAUGCAGCAGGAUUCUUGCCUCCUGAGUCACCGCUUCCAGGAAAGGGGGCGGGGCACCCUUAGCUGCGUGGUCAGCUGAGACCUGGGGCCCUAGGGUCCCGGAGAGAGCUGCCUCAGGCAUUGUACACCUGAAGCCAGGUGUGCUCCAGAACGUGCACAUUUCCUGUUUGUCACCUGGGUGGGGUCCGCAACUAUGGUCGUGAACUUCACGACUCACAAAUUCCUGUUUCUCCAGUCACCUUGACAGGAAUGGAGGCCAGGGAGGACCAAGCUCCUCUGGUGCAAGUUGGGAGAGCCUAAGGAGGGCACAGAUCCACCCCAGGUCAAUGAAGCUGUCCUCUGGGUCUUUUGGGGGAUAAUUUAUUUUGACAGGGGAGGGGAACCGGAGAAACGGCUAGGCAAACUUGAGUGAGGUCUGUGGGUCUUCUGUGUCUGUGUAAAGCUGCACACACAUUUAGGGGUGCACUUAAUCAGCAGGGGAAGUUGGGGUUCUGGGGUCUCACCUUCGACCCUGAACUGAUAUGGUGAUUUAAGACCUGCUGUGGAGCAGCCUGUCCUAGACUCUGAACUCCCAAUUACUCCAUCCCCAGCUACAACCAACAACCAACAGAUGAACGAAGAUCAUUUCUAAGGGUCCCUGGUGCAAGUAGUGAAGCGGACCAAGGUGCUGAUGUGAACCAGGAGGGACCAGAGGAUUCUCUUGGAUGGAUCUUGGGGUUCUCCCUGAGAGCUGACGGCUCCACCCCGAUCAGUAGGGACCCUGGAUCUACCAAAGACCACCCCCUCACUCACCUGGGCCGGACUCUGGGAGGAUCCGACGGGACUCAAUCUGGAGGCUCAGCGGUUGAGGAGCGCAGUGUCCACGCCCCAGCCGGGUCCAGCCUCGCCAGCACUCCACCUGGCUGGAGCCCAGCCCUAGCACCUGGCCCCGCCCCUUCAGCCCGGCACACCUUCCCCGCCCCUUCAGGCUCCGCCUCCAAAGGAACCUCCCAGGUGCUCUCCCCGUCCCCUUGGAACUUGUCCGCCUGCAGCGGCAUCCGUGUGCGUCCGUCCGUGAGUGUGAGUGUGUGCGUCUGUUCUCAAUAGACUCCCCGUCCUUGGCAACUCCAAAUAGCCCCGCUCUUUAGACAGGCGCCCCACCUCCUCACGGCCACGCCCCACUUAGUACCAUUCUUUGGGAUUUUUCUCUUUCCUUUUCUUCUUUCUCUGCCCCCCCCCCCUUUUUACAGAAUUCAGCUAUCUCUCCGAGGAUGACCUUGGACUCCUGGUCCUCCUUCCUCCAUCUCCCGCGUGCUGGAACGGCGGGGGGGAGCUGCCAUGCGCGGUGCCGGGGACUGAACCUCCCGGCUUUGUGCACGCUGGAGAGCGCUCAACCCACUGAGGCCUAGAAUGACUUUUCCCACAUACCAUGUCUCCAUAGGACCGGGCGGUGUCUCUCCAAAUCCCCAGGGAUCCAAAUCAGUUCAGGGCAGUCCUAGCCUGUGGCAACAAACCUGCUGCUUCCUCCAGGCCAUCCUCACCCUGCUGGGGAUGAGAGUUGAGAGACUUGUGGGGAAGUAGACAGCCUCCAUCAAAGACGGAGCUGGGCGGGAGUUUGGGACCAGGAUGAAGACUGAGGGUUCGGAUGGUUUCUCAGGUUGGGGGUGGGGUUCCAUCCUGAUGCCCAGAGACGAGGCAGAGGAAGUUGGGGGUUGCAAAUCUGCGGCAAGAGAGGCGAUAUGCACUUGUUAAAAGGCCACGUUUAUUCAAAGCUCACUAGUAAGUCAGGCUGUGGCGGGUGUUCAGUGGGUAGAGCGCUGGCCCAGCAUGCACGAACCAACUGCAGCACUCGAGAGGAGGAGGCAGGAGGAUCAAGACUUCAGUCAGCCUUAGCUACACUGCGAAGUUCAAGGCCAGUCUGGGCUAUAUGAGAUUCUUUAAAGUAUUCCAUAUAAUAGCGGCAACGCUUAUUGAACACCUACUGGAUACUAAGACAAUUCAGCUUGCUAGUCCUGACCCUACGGGUUAAUUUUGACUCACUCCAGGAAUGAGACAGGUGCUAUUCACGUCACCCACCCCACCCCACCCCAUUUUCCCAGUGGAGAAACUGAGGCACAGGGGUGAAGGAGCUAAGUCAUUCGUGCAAAUGUACCGCAGCCUGGGAGUGGUAGGGAUGGAUUUUGAAUUUAGAGCCCUAGUUGAUGCUUUCCAGCCUACCUCGUUUUUUUUCACAGCCUGGCCUCCCCCUGUAAUCUUCGACCCUGACCGUGAGCAGAGAAAGUAAAUUGUUACCCAGUUUACAGAAGAGGGAGAGGAUGCGUAGGAAGUCACAGAUGUCAAAAAUAGGGGAUGGAAACUGUCCUCGCUUGCAGAGUUGCAAAAGGGAGGGUUUCCAGGCUGUGCCCACCUCUUCCCCCAUCUCCCCGCUAUGUAAAUCAGACUCACGGUGGUCCAGGGAAGCGGUCUAGCACCGCCUAGUGGCCAUAAGGAUGAAAAGGCAGAGUGGGAGGGGAGCUACUUGGAAACUGGUGAGCUAAAUCUUGAGAAGGGCUUCCAGGCAAAGGGAAUUUUAGCUCCUAAUAAUAGUAGCUAAAUUAUAAGUAAGUAGGAAGGCAGUAAAUAUUUGUUAAGCAAACUAAUUCGUGAAUGACAGGGGAGGGUGAUGGUGGCUUUGACUCAAAGGGGAACUCAACAGCUGGAAAGGUGGGCUAUAUAAUUGUCAGGUUUAUUGGGUAUCAGAGUUUAUAGAGAGGGAAAGGACAGGAAAGGGUGGAGGAGGGCUGUGAUUUGAAAUUUUGGAAGACCUCAGAAAAAAUGACAUUUGGAGGCUCAAGAGACUGCUCAGUCAAGUGUGCGCUAUAGGAUUGAGAGGCCCUGAGUUCAAAUCCCUGGCAUACACUUAAAGCAGGAGGAGGUAGUCUAGGCUCUUUAUUCUCUAUGCUCCUAGGAUGUGAUGGGAAGCAGAGACAGUUGUGGAAGCUCAGGGACCAGCUAUCCAGGAACAGAGAGAGAAAGAGAGAGAGAGAGAGAGAGAGAGAGAGAGAGAGAGACUGCCUUAAGCAGUAUGGAGGAGAAGACCUUCAUUGAGGUUGUCCUGUGACUUCAACACAUCUGUCAGUGUGUUGAAGCACCCACACUCCACACACAAACAUGCACAAACACAUGCUAUUCACAGCACAAGAUCAAAAAGAAAGAAAGAAGAAAAGAAAGAAAAAAAAGGGUGGUGAGAGGGCUCAGUGGGCAAAGGUGAUUGCUGCAAGCCUGAAGAUCUGAGUUCAAUCCCUGGAACUGACAUGGUGGAAGAAGAGAACAGACUCCUUCCCUCAUGUCCUCUGACCUCCACACAUAAACUAUGCCCCACAAGUGUCUUCACACGCAUACACAGAUAUGACAUAUAUACAUAUA
This is a non-coding RNA of Cricetulus griseus (Chinese hamster), 3422 nucleotides long. Lineage: Eukaryota; Metazoa; Chordata; Mammalia; Rodentia; Cricetidae. The record is from RefSeq and is a predicted model, not a curated record.